This 375-nucleotide ribosomal RNA is filed under the name uncultured bacterium. RNAcentral describes it as "bacterial SSU rRNA". It matches the Rfam family "Bacterial small subunit ribosomal RNA", at positions 524 to 898 of the family's 1533-position model. The record is from RNAcentral.
GACGAACCGAGCGAACGUUGUUCGGAAUCACUGGGCUUAAAGGGCGCGUAGGCGGGCUGUCAAGUCUGGGGUGAAAUCUCGCGGCUCAACCGCGGAACUGCCUCAGAUACUGACGGCCUCGAGGGGGGUAGGGGCGAGCGGAACGGGUGGUGGAGCGGUGAAAUGCGUUGAUAUCACUCGGAACUCCGGUGGCGAAGGCGGCUCGCUGGACCUUUUCUGACGCUGAGGCGCGAAAGCUAGGGGAGCAAACGGGAUUAGAUACCCCGGUAGUCCUAGCCCUAAACGUUGGGUACUAGAUAGUAGACUAGACAUGGGUUUACUGUCGAAGCAAAAGUGCUAAGUACCCCGCCUGGGGAGUAUGGUCGCAAGGCUGAA